RNAcentral lists this ribosomal RNA (253 nucleotides) under uncultured bacterium. Its description in RNAcentral is "partial 16S ribosomal RNA". It matches the Rfam family "Bacterial small subunit ribosomal RNA", at positions 524 to 776 of the family's 1533-position model. The record is from RNAcentral.
UACGAGGGGGGCAAGCGUUGUUCGGAAUUAUUGGGCGUAAAGGGCGCGUAGGCGGCCUUCUAAGUCGAACGUGAAAUCCCCGGGCUCAACCCGGGAACUGCGUCCGAUACUGGGAGGCUUGAAUCCGGGAGAGGGAUGUGGAAUUCCAGGUGUAGCGGUGAAAUGCGUAGAUAUCUGGAGGAACACCGGUGGCGAAGGCGGCAUCCUGGACCGGUAUUGACGCUGAGGCGCGAAAGCCAGGGGAGCAAACGGG